This 400-nucleotide unclassified non-coding RNA is filed under the name uncultured fungus. RNAcentral's name for it is "sequence contains ITS1". The stretch from base 1 to 105 matches the Rfam family "5.8S ribosomal RNA", at positions 50 to 154 of the family's 154-position model. Lineage: Eukaryota; Fungi. The record is from RNAcentral.
UAGCUACGAUAUGCGGUGUGAAUUGCAGGACACGCCGAACACUAGAUUUUCGAACGCACAUUGCACCUUCGAGUCUUUCUCGAAGGUACGCCUGUCUGAGGGUCGGAAUGAAAUUGACGCAUAAAUGUAAAGGCUCGUAUCGAAAGACAAGUACUUGUUGCUAUACUUUCGUCGAGCAUGAGACGUUUAGCGAGAUUAGUUUGCGAGCUAUGUUUGUCUUGUACGGCAUAAGAGCGGCUAUCAGCGCAACACCACAUGUUGUCGCUGCGCUCUCAGCCCUAGAGUUACAAAUAAACGGUGCGAGCUAACGACUAAUUCCCGUUGGAUCAUUCAUUCGUUCCAUGUUGACGCAAGUUGACAUGUGACGACAAACUUACUUUUGUCGACCUCAGAUCAGACG